Non-coding RNA from Elaeis guineensis (African oil palm), 1489 nucleotides. Lineage: Eukaryota; Viridiplantae; Streptophyta; Magnoliopsida; Arecales; Arecaceae. The record is from RefSeq and is a predicted model, not a curated record.
CACGUGGACCGUGCGGGGGGCGACGGGGAGGCUGCUACGUGUCGCUGGUGGCUCUCCUCCUCCGAUCGAGGGCUUCGAGCACUACCGCUGCGACCGCAACCUCUCCAUGGGCAUGAACCAAGAUGCUCCGCUGCGCCGGGAACAACGACAUCAUCACCCUCAAGGCCGACGAUGGCAGCGACACCGUCACCUUCAUGUUUGAAAGCCCCAUUAAUUUUUUGGAUGAUACAAAGAAUUGAGAAUGGUGGUGCUAUGAGCAUUCUGCAGGCAAGGAACUGAGGAAAGAUAAGUGCUAAAUUUUUUAUUUUGAUCUGAAACCUAUCAAAAUGGUGAACUAAUUUUUUUUUUCUCUUUUUUCUCUAUAUUUCAUUCACUAUCUUGCUGCAUCAAUUUUUUCUAAAGAUCAUAUAAGGCUGUAAAUCCUUUCUCAAAUGAUGGUUUCCUAUGGGAUUGGAUGGUUGUGAUCUUGCAAAUAGCAACCUCCUAUGAACUUGAUGAGAAAAAAAUCAGACAUAAUUUUUCAAAUAUUUUUGAGCAUGAUUCUCCUAAUCCCCUUAAGCUUUCAUAUCCAAUAAACAAUCCGUCAAUGAAAGUGGAGGGCUGCUGCAAGCGCAGUAGUAACCUUUUCAAAACUCUCUCAGAUGAUGCUUUUAGACUAUAAAACUGAUGAGAGGCUGUCCUAAACACAUUCUCUCCUGCUUUCCUCGCCAUUAUCUCCCAUGGGUUUUCAUUAUUGAAAAAGAAAAAAUUCGAACAGCCUAUACAGGAAAAGGUCUGAUCUUUUAAAUUUUUCAUCUUUUCUUUGUUUUCACUGAUUUUUUCUAUCUUUUUCUAAUUUUUGAUGUACUUUUUCUAUUUGUGGGAGUGUCAACCAGAUGGGAAGCUCGGAGCGGUCGAAUAGAAAAAUUUAAAUCUACCUCAAUCUGAUGAGAGGCUUGGAGCAGAUGAGGUGUCUUAAUCAGAUGAGAGGCUUGGAGUAGCUGAAUAGAGAAUUUUAGAUCAAUCUCAAUCGGUUGAGAGGUCUGGUGGGGCUACUAGUCUAGUCCCUACCCACCGGCACAUUCAGCAGCUUAAAGGAACGUGUAGUUGCAAACACAGGCUUGGUGUGAUCACCAGAAUUGUUGCCACCUUAAUAUGUGCAAAAACAGAUGUCUCAAAAAUUAGCUUAAUAAGACAGGGAUGACUCAAGCUUUUUACUCCUUUGGUACAUCAGAGUUAGCUGUAUCGUUUGCAGCUCCGUGAUUCUGUCACAGAUGGCGUAUGUAAGUCAGAAAUAUCUCUGAUCAUCCAAAGAACUUCACAGCACAGAAAAAAUGAGCUCCAUUUUAUCUCUUUGCAAGGAUUUCUUCACGUAUGGCAUUUUCAGAGAGUGUUUGUUUUGUGGUUCGAAUCCGAAUAGAUUGAAAUCAAAAUAAAAUGAGAUUUGAAUGCUUGAAGAAAGUUUGUAUUGGAUUUUGGGAGAUUCGAAUAUUUUCAUAAAAUUGAAAUA